Cricetulus griseus (Chinese hamster) is the source of this 301-nucleotide non-coding RNA. Lineage: Eukaryota; Metazoa; Chordata; Mammalia; Rodentia; Cricetidae. The record is from RefSeq and is a predicted model, not a curated record.
CGAGCAACGCUGAGGACAGUCGCUGUCUCGGAAAGCCGUGCCGCGAGACGCAGAGGUUCGGUGGGGCGGACCGGACGGUCCGAGAGACUCGGGGAGGCGCGGAGGACCCGCGUGGGACAGCCACCUGGAACGCGACUGCCAGAUAUGGCUGCUAAUGGCAUCUACUUCAGUUCUGGACUGUGGAUUGAGUGAACCGUAUCCUUUCCCAUCAUGAUACACAACGUAAAGGCUCUCCACUUUGCUGCAUUCUGACUAGUGGCCAAGCACGUGACAUUCCGAACUUCAGCAAAGGUACAGUAAG